RNAcentral lists this ribosomal RNA (253 nucleotides) under uncultured bacterium. RNAcentral's name for it is "partial 16S ribosomal RNA". It matches the Rfam family "Bacterial small subunit ribosomal RNA", at positions 524 to 776 of the family's 1533-position model. The record is from RNAcentral.
UACGUAGGGGGCAAGCGUUGUCCGGAAUCAUUGGGCGUAAAGAGCGUGUAGGCGGCUCGGUAAGUCCGCUGUGAAAGUCCAGGGCUCAACCCUGGAAUGCCGGUGGAAACUGUCGAGCUAGAAUCCGGAAGAGGCGAGUGGAAUUCCUGGUGUAGCGGUGAAAUGCGCAGAUAUCAGGAGGAGCACCAAUGGCGAAGGCAGCUCGCUGGGACGGUAUUGACGCUGAGACGCGAAAGCGUGGGGAGCAAACAGG